RNAcentral lists this ribosomal RNA (400 nucleotides) under uncultured bacterium. RNAcentral's name for it is "bacterial SSU rRNA". It matches the Rfam family "Bacterial small subunit ribosomal RNA", at positions 975 to 1375 of the family's 1533-position model. The record is from RNAcentral.
CACCUUUUGACAUGCCCGGACCACCAGAGAGAUCUGGCUUUCCCUUCGGGGACUGGGACACAGGUGCUGCAUGGCUGUCGUCAGCUCGUGUCGUGAGAUGUUGGGUUAAGUCCCGCAACGAGCGCAACCCUCGCGAUUAGUUGCCAUCAGGUUUGGCUGGGCACUCUAAUCGUACUGCCGGAGUUAAUCCGGAGGAAGGCGGGGAUGACGUCAAGUCCUCAUGGCCCUUACAAGGUGGGCUACACACGUGCUACAAUGGCGACUACAGAGGGCUGCAAUCCCGCGAGGGGGAGCCAAUCCCUAAAAGUCGUCUCAGUUCGGAUUGUUCUCUGCAACUCGAGAGCAUGAAGUUGGAAUCGCUAGUAAUCGCGGAUCAGCAUGCCGCGGUGAAUACGUUCCC